This 222-nucleotide ribosomal RNA is filed under the name uncultured bacterium. Its description in RNAcentral is "partial 16S ribosomal RNA". It matches the Rfam family "Bacterial small subunit ribosomal RNA", at positions 924 to 1154 of the family's 1533-position model. The record is from RNAcentral.
CACAAGCAGUGGAGUAUGUGGUUUAAUUCGACGCAACGCGAAGAACCUUACCAAGUCUUGACAUCCUGCGACGGUUCUGGAAACAGUAUUUUCCUUCGGGACGCAGAGACAGGUGGUGCAUGGUUGUCGUCAGCUCGUGUCGUGAGAUGUUGGGUUAAGUCCCGCAACGAGCGCAACCCUUAUGGUCAGUUACUACGCAAGAGGACUCUGGCCAGACUGCCG